Molecule: long non-coding RNA, 734 nt
Filed under: Eucalyptus grandis
Lineage: Eukaryota; Viridiplantae; Streptophyta; Magnoliopsida; Myrtales; Myrtaceae
Description: long non-coding RNA (EGRA_LNC006299)
Source: RNAcentral
ACAAUAGAACAAUAAAAAAAAACAUAAGCCUUGGGCUCUUUGCCACAACAACACAAAGUAUGCAUAAGUCUCAAGAAACAUACCUUAAAAAUACAAUGAACAAUAAAAACACACACAUGUAAUAUGAAUCAUAAAAUUUAAUUCCUCAUUCAUUUGAAGAAGAGUGCCUCUGGUUCUAACUACCUGAAAACAAAACAAACAACAAUUAUAUUUAAUCACUUUAAAAUACUUUAUAUAAAUUAUUUAACAUUGAACUCCAAUAAUCAAUAGAAAACUUCAUUACAUAUAUUUCUUCAAUUUGAACUUAUAAUCUCUAUUCUGUUAAAAAAAAAUUAUAAUCUCUAUUUAUUAAUGAUAAUUUCCAUGGUAAAAUAAAUUUCAUUUAACUAAAAGGAUAGAUUGAAUAAAUUAUUCACUCAUUAGAUACACAAAGGAACUACAAGAGAAAAAGAAAUAUACAUACUUACCCAAUUUUUUCCAUCAUGCGAAUAUGAAAUACAAGUGUCCUCGACAGUUAGAAUUCUUCCCGGGUUCCAGCAAUCCUCGCUAUAUUCCCGGAGGGGCAAAUCCCACGGCGUUACUAUCAUACUGCUGUUUAUUAGUAAGCGUAGCCUUCUCAGUCUCGAUAACUCACGAGGUAAUUGAGCGAUUAUUGAAUGACUUAGGUCAAUCAUCCCCAAACUCUCCAAAUUUCCAAUAGAAUUUAACCUGAAAGAAUUUGACCUAAAAGAAUU